UCCAGCUGCGAACAUUCUAUUUAAAAUCCGAAACCCACCCCUCCCCUGGCCUGGGAUUCAAAGCCCCUGUCCUUGCCGAGCCCUGUGGUCUCCACUCCUACCUGCACCCCCUAUCCAGCCCGUCUUCUCUCCCCAGCCUCCUUCUCCUGCCUCCGCAGUCCUCCCCGGGCCCUUCUCCCACACAAAGCCAAUCAGAGCAGUUUAAAAGUUUUGUUGGUUCCUUUGUUGUACAUGACGGUAGAAUUCAUCUGGCGCGAUUAUAAAAGCAUGGGAUAUAAUUUGCUCCAAGUCAGCCCCCAGUACUUCCCCUUCCCCUCUUCUCCUCCCUCCUGUUCCCUCCCCUCUACUGGUCUUUCUGUGAUUUACUUAUAGUGGUUUACUUUUUGUUAGUUAGUGUCUUGUGACGUACACGUGGUGGAUUCGCUGUGGGUGUUUUAAUUCCUAUUCCUGCUCUAGAUCAAAUUCUGGUGUCUCUAGCAGAGGGUCCCCAGGGGCAAGAAGAACUGCCCUAGUGUUGAGGACACCUGGUCCCCUCUUCCCAGGGCCACCCUGCAGGGGCAGCGGGCCCCUCCUCUGCUUCCUCCUGUCCUGUCCCACCACGCGCCAGGUCCCAGCCAUGUUCUGUGAUGCAGGGCUGCACUGUGGGCAGGCGCUUCUCGCGACCCCUGCUUGGUGCAUGGAUACUCUCUGGGCUUUUAUUAGGGCAAUACAGUCACACAUAGCAGCCCGUGGACAGGUCCAGGUGGCUCACAUGACGCACCUCUGUGGACAGACAGCUUCUCUCGCGCUGUGCCUGCACUUCCUCGUCCCCAGAACAUCGGGACACAGAUCUGCCACCUGUGUGCGUUAAUUCCAGACUCUGCUUCUGUGUUGAGGAUUUUCUUUGGGUAUUUUCUAACGUGAGUAAGUUCUUCCCUUGUUCAUCAGCGAACAAAUCAAUCAAUCAAUACUUCUUCCUGAGAAAAGCGGUUCCGUGGUCUUGGCCCCUGGCAUUCCCUCCUGUUUUUAAACAUGCUGCUGGUAUUUCAGAUCUCCAAGCAGAUCCUUUCCAUUGUCCCCCUGAAUCUGUAAAAAAAAAAAAAAAAAAAAGAAUCUAUCUCUUUGCGAAUUCCUCUGCUUUUCACAUUUGCGCCCCUACUUGAAGGGACUUUUGGAGUCUUGCUCACUGUAGAUUCCCAGCUCCCGGAAAAGGUGCUCUGAGGCUGAGGCCGCCCUCUCCUUUAUCAUAGAACAGACAACGGGAGGGGGGGCAGAAUACAAAGUGAGGGGGUCACAGUCAUCAGUACCACUGCAACGGCUAUGGGUAAUGAGCUCCCUAGUGUUCCUGCUGGCCACGGCCUGGUGUCCCCAGGGGGAUGCACAGACUUGGCACUGACAGGUGGUGAUGGCUGAGAUCUCCACCUAGAGGGUGCAGCUGGGGCUGAGCUAACCAGAGAGCAUCUGGAGAGCAGGGUCUGCAGACCCCAUCCUCCCUCCCCUGAGCUGCAGUGCAAAACUAGAGGCCCAACCUCUCCAACACUGAGGGCUCCGUCCUGCUCAGGAUGAGCAGAGGCCAUGGCUGC
This 1562-nucleotide long non-coding RNA is filed under the name Marmota monax (woodchuck). The record is from RNAcentral. Lineage: Eukaryota; Metazoa; Chordata; Mammalia; Rodentia; Sciuridae.